ACGAGAUUUAGCAAAGCUUGCUUUGCUAAAUCUAGUGGCGAACGGGUGAGUAACACGUGAGCAACCUGCCCAGAAGCAGGGGAUAGCCCACCGAAAGGUGGAUUAAUACCGUAUGUGAUCCCAAGAGGCAUCUCUUGGAGAUUAAAGCCGGGGAUCUUCGGACCUGGCACUUCUGGAUGGGCUCGCGGCCUAUCAGCUUGUUGGUGAGGUAACGGCUCACCAAGGCGAUGACGGGUAACUGGUCUGAGAGGAUGAUCAGUCACACUGGAACUGAGACACGGUCCAGACACCUACGGGUGGCAGCAGUCGAGAAUCAUUCACAAUGGGCGAAAGCCUGAUGGUGCGACGCCGCGUGGAGGAUGACAGCUCUAGGGUUGUAAACUCCUGUCAUGAGAGAGUAAAGACCUACCGUUAAUAGCGGUCGGGUCCUGAUAGUAUCUCAAGAGGAAGGGACGGCUAACUUC
RNAcentral lists this ribosomal RNA (464 nucleotides) under uncultured bacterium. RNAcentral describes it as "bacterial SSU rRNA". It matches the Rfam family "Bacterial small subunit ribosomal RNA", at positions 66 to 504 of the family's 1533-position model. The record is from RNAcentral.